GAAAUGCGAUAAUUAAUGUGAAUUGCAGAAUUCAGUGAAUCAUCGAGUCUUUGAACGCACAUUGCGCCCCCUGGUAUUCCGGGGGGCAUGCCUGUCCGAGCGUCAUUGCUGCCCUCAAGCACGGCUUGUGUGUUGGGCUUCCGUCCCUGGCAACGGGGACGGGCCCAAAAGGCAGUGGCGGCACCAUGUCUGGUCCUCGAGCGUAUGGGGCUUUGUCACCCGCUCCCGUAGGUCCAGCUGGCAGCUAGCCUCGCAACCAAUCUUUUUAACCAGGUUGACCUCGGAUCAGGCAGGGAUACCCGCUGAACUUAAGC
This 314-nucleotide unclassified non-coding RNA is filed under the name plant metagenome. RNAcentral describes it as "partial contains 5.8S ribosomal RNA, internal transcribed spacer 2, and large subunit ribosomal RNA". The stretch from base 1 to 105 matches the Rfam family "5.8S ribosomal RNA", at positions 50 to 154 of the family's 154-position model. The record is from RNAcentral.